RNAcentral lists this ribosomal RNA (2150 nucleotides) under metagenome. RNAcentral describes it as "bacterial LSU rRNA". It matches the Rfam family "Bacterial large subunit ribosomal RNA", at positions 1 to 2278 of the family's 2925-position model. The record is from RNAcentral.
GCAAGUUGUUAAGGGCACAUGGUGGAUGCCUUGGCACAGAGAGGCGAAGAAGGACGCAGCAACCGGCGAAACGCCGCGGGGAGCAGGAAGCAUGCUUUGAUCCGCGGAUGUCCGAAUGGGGAAACCCGAUGGGAGUCAUGUUCCAUCACCCGCAAGGGAGCCAACCCAGGGAAGUGAAACAUCUCAGUACCUGGAGGAAAAGAAAUCAACGGAGAUUCCGGUAGUAGUGGCGAGCGAACCCGGAAAAGCCCAAACCGGCCCCACGCAAGUGUGGCCGGGGUUGUAGGACCCCACAACGGGAUCCAGAGUCGAUAGCCGAACGGUCUGGGAAGGCCGACCAAAGACGGUGAGAGUCCGGUAGGCGAAAUCGACGAUGGCCCAGGGGUAUCCUGAGUAGCGCGGGACACGAGAAAUCCUGUGUGAAUCUGGGGGGACCACCCUCCAAGGCUAAAUACUCCUCUGUGACCGAUAGUGAACCAGUACCGUGAGGGAAAGGUGAAAAGAACCCUUCAGAAGGGAGUGAAAAGAACCUGAAACCAUGUGCUUACAAACGGUCGGAGCGGGCUAUAUGCCCGUGACGGCGUGCCUUUUGCUUAAUGAGCCUACGAGUUGCUCGUCACAUGCAAGGGUAAGGGUAUGGAUACCCGCACCCGUAGCGAAAGCGAGUCUGAAUAGGGCGGCUAGUAUGUGGCGGCAGACGCGAAACCGAGUGAUCUAUCCAUGGGCAGGAUGAAGCGUAGGUAACACUACGUGGAGGUCCGAACGGGUGUGGGUUGAAAACUACUCCGAUGACCUGUGGAUAGGGGUGAAAGGCCAAUCAAACUCGGUGAUAGCUCGUACUCCCCGAAAUGUUUUUAGGAACAGCCUCGUGUUAUUGUCUCGGAGGUAGGGCUCUGAUUGGGCUAGGGCUGUCACAACGGUACCGACCCCAGAUAAACCGCAAAUGCCGAAGACAAGAUGCACGGGAGUGAGGCUGCGAGGGAUAAGCUUCGUAGCCGAGAGGGAAACAACCCAGACCACCAGCUAAGGUCCCCAAGUGGGUACUAACAGGCAAAGGAUGUGCAGUUGCAUAGACAGCCAGGAUGUUGGCUUAGAAGCAGCCAUUCAUUCAAAGAGUGCGUAAUAGCUCACUGGUCGAGCGACUGUGCGCCGACAAUAAUCGGGACUAAGUAUCCCACCGAAGCUGUGGGCUCCAAGUAAUUGGAGCGGUAGGGGAGCAUUCCAUGGACGGCGAAGGUGUACCGCGAGGUAUGCUGGAGUGCAUGGAAGAGCAUAUGUAGGCAUGAGUAGCGACAACGGGGGUGAGAAUCCCCCGCGCCGAAAGUCCAAGGUUUCCGGAGCUCCGUUCGUCGACUCCGGGUUAGGCGACCCCUAAGGCGAGGCCGAGAGGCGUAGCUGAUGGGAAGCAGGCAAAUUCAAUAUUCCUGCCCCACUGCGACAAUAAAAGUGACGCAGACGUCAGUCAGUUGAGGUUAAUGGCUAUCCGAAAACUGAUCAAGUCUGCCGAGAAAAGCGAGUCGUGGUGAUCGUACCGCAAACCGACACAGGUGGACGGGUUGAGAAUACUCAGGCGCGCGAGUGAGCCGUGCUUAAGGAACUCGGCAAAUUGACCCCGUAACUUCGGGAGAAGGGGUGCUGCAGCAAUGCAGCCGCAGAGAAAUGGCCCAGGCGACUGUUUACCACAAACACAUCACUCUGCUAACACGUCAAGUGGACGUAUAGGGUGUGACACCUGCCCGGUGCCGGAAGGUUAAGAGGAGAGGUCAGCUUCGGCGAAGCUUUGAAUCGAAGCCCCGGUAAACGGCGGCCGUAACUAUAACGGUCCUAAGGUAGCGAAAUUCCUUGUCGGGUAAGUUCCGACCUGCACGAAUGGUGUAACGAUCUGGGCACUGUCUCAAGCACGGGCUCGGCGAAAUUGUGGUACCGGUGAAGACGCCGGUUACCCGCAUAUGGACGGAAAGACCCCGUGCACCUUUACUGCAGCUUAGUAUUGGGUUUGGUCACAUCAUGCGUAGGAUAGGUGGGAGACUAUGAAGCAGGCCUUGCGGGGCUUGUGGAGUCAUCGGUGAAAUACCACCCUUGAUGUGUUCGAAUUCUAACCCGGCGGAGUGGAUCCGCGGGAACAGUGCUAGGUGGGCAGUUUGACUGGG